GAGCAUGGGCCGUAAUGGAAAUACCGGUGCAAGCGAAGGAGGUGUGCAGCCGGCAAAUCCGCUGCAUGAGCCGAAAGCAUGACGCGGAGCGAAAUAAAAGUAGCGAAGCAUGUGAGCCCUGUGCCGAGAAAAGCCGCUAUAGCUUUAUAUGUGCCCGUACCGUAAACCGACACAGGUGGAUGAGGAGAGAAUCCUAAGGCCGGCGGAAGAAGUGUUGUUAAGGAACUCGGCAAAAUGACCCCGUAACUUCGGGAGAAGGGGUGCCCACGGGAGUGGGCCGCAGAGAAUAGGCUCAAACAACUGUUUAGCAAAAACACAGGUCUAUGCGAAACCGAAAGGUGAAGUAUAUGGGCUGACGCCUGCCCGGUGCUGGAAGGUUAAGAGGAGAGGUUAGAGCAAUCGAAGCUUUGAAUUUAAGCCCCAGUAAACGGCGGCCGUAACGAUAACGGUCCUAAGGUAGCGAAAUUCCUUGUCGGGUAAGUUCCGACCCGCACGAAAGGCGUAAUGAUUUGAGCACUGUCUCGACAAUACAUCCGGUGAAAUUGAAGUACCAGUGAAGAUGCUGGUUACCCGCGCCAGGACGGAAAGACCCCAUGGAGCUUUACUCCAGUUUGGUACUGGGAUUCGGUACUGCACGUACAGGAUAGGUGGGAGACUAAGAAACUUGAACGCCAGUUUGAGUGGAGUCGCUGUUGGGAUACCACCCCUGCAGUAUUGGAUUUCUAACCAGUCACCGUGAUCCGGUGAUGGGACAAUGCCAGGCGGGGAGUUUGACUGGGGCGGUCGCCUCCGAAAGGGUAUCGGAGGCGCUCAAAGGUUCCCUCAGAAUGGUCGGAAACCAUUUGAAGAGUGCAAAGGCAGAAGGGAGCUUGACUGCGACACCGACGGGUGGAGCAGGUAGGAAACUAGGACUUAGUGAUCCGGUGGCAUAAAGUGGGAUUGCCGUCGCUCAACGGAUAAAAGCUACCCUGGGAUAACAGGCUUAUCACUCCCAAGAGUUCACAUCGACGGAGUGGUUUGGCACCUCGAUGUCGGCUCAUCGCAUCCUGGGGCUGUAGCAGGUCCCAAGGGUUGGGCUGUUCGCCCAUUAAAGCGGUACGCGAGCUGGGUUCAGAACGUCGUGAGACAGUUCGGUCCCUAUCCGGCGCGGGCGGAGGAUAUUUGAGAGGAGCUGUCCUUAGUACGAGAGGACCGGGAUGGACGGACCACUGGUGUAUCUGCUGUCGGCCAACGGCAUGGCAGAGUAGCCAAGUCCGGAAGGGAUAAACGCUGAAGGCAUCUAAGCGUGAAGCCCCCCUCAAGAUGAGAUAUCCCUCACAUAAGUGGGUAAGAUCCCUUGAAGACUACAAGGUAGAUAGGGCAGAGGUGGAAGUGUGGCAACACAUGGAGCUGACUGUUACUAAUCGAUCGAGGGCUUGACC
This 1421-nucleotide ribosomal RNA is filed under the name metagenome. RNAcentral describes it as "bacterial LSU rRNA". It matches the Rfam family "Bacterial large subunit ribosomal RNA", at positions 1483 to 2925 of the family's 2925-position model. The record is from RNAcentral.